UUUUUACCCGUCAUCCUUUUCGCUCUUCUUCCUCUUCUUAACCGUUCCGCUUCUUGUCUCUUCCUCUUCUUCUUCUCUCAAGAUGGCGGACCGGCGGAGGCAAAGGGCUUCUCAGGACAGCAGCGAGGAGGACGAGUCUGACUCGCCGCCGGGGAGCGCGGCUCCUUCACCGCGGGGGAGCCACCGCCUUGGUCUGGCCGGACAAGGGGGAAGCGGAGGCGGAGGAGGAGGAGGAGGAGGAGGAGGCAGCCAAGGCGGUGUUUGUGGUGGGGCUGCCAUUGCCGCCGUCGAUGUUGCCGGCACCGAAAGUGUGGAGGCGGCGCUGCCGGAGGGAGGCAGCCCUGGAGACUCGGAGUGUGAAAGUGAAGAUGGCAUAGAAGGAGAUGCGGUUCUCUCUGACUAUGAAAGUGCUGAAGAUUCAGAGGCUGAAGAGGGAGAGUACAGUGAGGAGGAAACAUCCAAAGUGGAGCUGAAGCGGGACAGUAAUGAUGCUGAUUUGACAACAAAAUCAGACAAAGGAGAUGAAAAACCAGAAUCGAAAGGCACUGUGGCAGGGGAGAGGCAAAGUGGGGAUGGACAGGAGAGCACUGAACCAGUUGAGAACAAAGGUGGCAAAAAACUUCCUAAGCACUUGGAUGAUGAUGAGGAUCGGAAGAACCCUGCAUAUAUCCCUCGCAAAGGUCUUUUCUUUGAACAUGACCUUCGUGGGCAGACCCAGGAAGAGGAAGUCCGGCCUAAGGGUCGCCAGCGUAAGCUUUGGAAAGAUGAGGGCCGAUGGGAACAUGACAAAUUCCGGGAAGAUGAACAAGCACCAAAAACAAGGCAGGAGUUGAUUGCUCUCUAUGGCUAUGACAUCCGCUCAGCACACAACCCUGAUGACAUUAAACCCAGAAGAGUGCGCAAGCCAAGAUUUGGGAGCCCACCACAGAGAGAACCAAACUGGUCUAAUGAACGGCCUAAUAAGCCUCCACGACACCAGAGCCUAGAAAGUGCUUCUGUGCCACCCCGGACAUUCAUCAACCGGAAUUCAGCAGGGACAGGACGCAUGCCCCCAGCAAGGACUUUCCCAAGACCCAGUGGCUACAAAGAGACUCGCCCAAGCUAUCGUGCUGUGGAUGUGAACAGUCAGCAUGCACCUCGUUUCAGUGAGCAGUCAAAGCAUGAGAACAGUUACCGGGCAAGGCGCUCAGAACCGGCACCUGCUCGAGAACCCUCUCCAGAGGCAGAGAUCUCAUAUGUUCGUGAGAGCCCUGAUAAAAAGAAUGAGGUUGUUCCAGAAAUUCAACCAACUCCUUCAGAUGUUCUGCAGCCACCACCAGAUAAGCCUGUGGAAAAGAAGUCCUAUUCUCGGGCAAGGAGGAGCCGGAACAAAGCAGGCGAGAUGGGGAAACUGGCAGAUGAAAUCCCACCUCCAUCAGGGUUGACACCUGCACCAUUGAAGACGGCAGAAGUUAUACCAUCAAAUUCCCCAGCAAAGACUAGUAACUGGGAGGUACCUGUUGAAGCCAGUCUAGAUGGCCUUGAGCAGGAUAUGACCCAGAUGAAUAUAACAGAGCAGAACUGGAACCAGGGUCAACCUCAGUUCAUACAACCUCAGGGUAUUCCCAACCAGAUGCACAUUGGGGCAGCCCCACCGCCUCAGUUCAACAGGAUGGAGGAGAUGGGUGUUCAGGGGGGACGUGCAAAGCGUUAUUCAUCACAGCGUCAGAGACCUGUUCCCGAGCCUCCUCCACCAGUGCACAUAAGCAUAAUGGAUGGGCACUACUAUGACACAUUACAGUUCCAGGGACCUAUCUACACUCACAGCGAGAAUCCUGCCCCACUACCUCCACAAGGGGUGAUUGUUCAGCCAGAAAUGCAUCUUCCUCAUCCAGGGUUGCAUCCCCACCAGACACCUGCACCUUUGGCUAACCCUGGUUUGUAUCCUCCGCCGGUCUCCAUGCCUCCUGGACAGCAGCCUCCGCCACCGCCACCACCACAACAGCUGCUAGCACCAACCUACUUCUCUCCUCCUCCCGGAGUGAUGAAUUUUGGCAGUCCUAGUUACCCCUACCCUCCAGGAGCUCUCCCACCACCCCCACCUCCCCACCUAUACCCCAACACUCAAGCCCAGUCUCAGGUAUAUGGAGGGGUUACCUAUUAUAAUACGGUCCAGCAGCAAGUACAGCCAAAACCUUCUCCUCCACGAAGAACAUCCCAGCCCGUCACUAUCAAGCCACCACCCCCUGAGGUAAUGGUUACUUUGCCCACCCCAGUUGCCUACCUCUGUUCAGACUAUGUGUUGCUUCCAUGAGUGGAAGUUCACAAUUCCUAAGGCACUCUCUUCUACCAAAGAAGUAGUUUGUAAGAGCAGAAAAAUUAUUACUUGCCUGUUGUUUUGAUAUGUUGCAAAUUCUAGAUUCUCGUUGCAGGUUGUAAACAGGGCUCCUGUUAACAUUUCUAAACGCUUUUAAAGGAUGGCAGAAACGAAAAAUCCAAAGAAAGGAGCAACACUUAAAGAACUCUGCACUUUGCUGAUUUUAGCAAAGUAGCAGAGUUGGCACAUAUGGCAGGCAGAAGGCAACUCCCCUGUGUGGAGUCUUUCCUCUUGUUCCUUUGAUAAUAGGUGAUGCACAUGGAUGUGUGCACUUCUACAAGGCUACACUAUGUCAGUAUCGUGAUUGGGGCCAGAUUGCUCAUCAGGAGAGCACCAAUGGAAUCACACAUCUUUUCAUUCUCUCUCUCAUCCUAAUGCAGAGAGGCUAUACAAACAUUGUUGGAUGUAAAAUUUAUCUGCUUAUUGAGAGAGAAGCCGUUUCCUUCAUUCUAUUAUUUUCUAAGUGUGACUGUUUGUAGAUGUCAAACUAAAAAAACCCAGUUGGUCCUUAUGUUAAUUUUCCUUUGAAGAACUUGACAUAGCUUUAUUUCUGUUCUGUUUAACUGAUCUUGUUAACUUUACUUGAGUUGUGUGAAUCUGUUCUUUUCUGACUUUCCCUCCAAUAAUUUAAUUUUAAAAUAAGUCAUGCUAGUGCAAAGUCUUAGUUUCUUGGACUAAAAUUAAAGAGGACUCUAAGGAGGAUCAUUUGUGUUAAAAUGGAAACUGUAUUUUUGAUUUCCUGCAUUUUCUUCCUUUUCCAGGGAAAUUACUCUGAAUUAAAAAAUUAGCCCCAGUGGCAGAUGUCUGCUUUACUUUUUCAGCCCUGAGCUGUACCCAACAUGGCUGCCAUUUUGAGGAAGGGGGAAAUUGUUAAGUGUGCUAUAGUAAACCAACAUAUGCAUCUGUGUUUAAUAGCCUGAAAUAACCUGUAAACAUGGACGCUUCAUGUUCUGCCCAGUCUUUUCUGUUCUUCAGAAUGCACAGAGUUUUCCUCGCUGUCCCUCGAAACAGCACUGUUAUUGAGAACUCUUCUGAUGUCUUGCAGACUAUUGGCCUGCUUGCUUGCACUUUGCAGCUUACAUUUUGCCUGCCAAGUUGCACGGCUUCCACGUCCCCAUUCCUCGCACUUUGUAUGCAUUGCCGAUUCAUUUACAGAACCAUUGCAACAACGUGGCCAGCCAACAGCCACUUAUGCUGGAAGGAAGUGUUCAGCACUGGACUGAUGGCAACAGGGUUACUUGGAGCCAUUCUAGGCACCUCUGCUUUCCCGCCUGUUCAUGCUUGUGUAGAUUCGUAUCUGAAAUACCAGGGCCUCUUUUAUUAUAUAUUUUUUAGUUUGAUAACCCUUUUAAUUUAAUUUUUUUUAAAACAAGUACUGCUUGCAUUGGAUAAAAAAAAUCCUUGAUGUUUUGAAGUAUUUGGAUUUUUUCCCCCCUUUACUUUAAUAUUUGAGAUUUAUUCAUUUAACAUAUCAGUCUUGAAAUCUUAGACCUAAUGACACUGUGAUAGCUAAUUUUUGUUAAUAAAUUUUUUUUGUUCCCGUU
Molecule: RNA transcript, 3900 nt
Organism: Sceloporus undulatus (fence lizard)
Lineage: Eukaryota; Metazoa; Chordata; Lepidosauria; Squamata; Phrynosomatidae
Gene: CASC3
Gene name: CASC3 exon junction complex subunit
Exons: 13
Source: RefSeq, a predicted model, not a curated record